CUGGUUACCUGAGCCAGGUCUGGGGCCAGGCAGCAUGCAUUCUAGUCCUGCCUGGGACACUCACUGGCCUCAAGAUCUUGGGCAAAACAGCUGACUGCUUUGCACCUCAGUUUCCUCAUCUGUAAGGUCCAGGACUACCCACUUCCCUUGGAAUGGUGUUGCCAUCACUGUUCUGGCACCGGAGAAAGGAUUCUACAUCGUUAGGAGAAAAGAAAAAGGAGAAUUUGGGCUUGCACUGAGAGGAUUACCUUUGGUGGUCUGGAAGUGGUGGGGUUGCAGCAUUGAAGGCACCAUCUUGGAAGCAGAGACUAGACCCUCACCAAGCAAUUAACAUGCUGGUGCAUUGAUCUUGGACUUUCCAGCCUCCAGAACUGUGAGAAAUAAAUUUCUGUUCUUAAUUAAUUACCCAGUCCCAGGUAUUCUGUUAUAGCAGCACAAAGCUUAGACGGGCUCCUUACAUCUUGAGGCUCCAUUAUCUCCUGGGAACUGGGAGUCCUUAGGUUCUAGCCAUGGAAAGAGAAACAAAAGAUGGAGAAGGCACACAUGCUUCUUAAUGGUCGUGGUUCAGAAGUAACAAAUACUAAUUCUAUAUAUUCUACUGGCUCAACACAAAUGCAGGGGUGUGCUGGGAAUGGAGUCUCUGAUUGGGCAGCAGGGAUCAGGGAUCAAAGAUCAGGAAAUAUUCCAGGGUGAAUAUUUUACUAGGUGAGGAGGACCAUGAAUUUUGACAAACAGCCUUUGCUGCUCUACCCACUCCUCAUCAUCACUGUUAGACACAAAGAGAAAUGGCAGCACUUUUUGUCCAUUGAUUGUAACUCUUUCUUUAAAGACUUUUAAGGCAGAAUCUCAAUUCAUCUCUUCUAUGAAACUUUCAUGAUUCAAAGGGAAGUCCCUGCAUGGACACUGCCAGCUUCAUUGCACUUCUGCCUCUAUGCUUUUUCCUGAACCUUCUCCACCUCUGGAACGUACUUCAGGCUGCACAGGGAGCAUGGCUGGGAGGCCUCAGGAAACUGAC
This 1015-nucleotide long non-coding RNA is filed under the name Homo sapiens (human). Its description in RNAcentral is "HSALNT0332708". Lineage: Eukaryota; Metazoa; Chordata; Mammalia; Primates; Hominidae. The record is from RNAcentral.